CAGUAGCCGCGGUAAUGCGAGGGGGGCUAGCGUUGUUCGGAUUUACUGGGCGUAAAGGGCGCGUAGGCGGACUGAUAAGUCAGGGGUGAAAUCCCAAGGCUCAACCUUGGAACUGCCUUUGAUACUGUUUGUCUUGAGUUUGAGAGAGGUAAGUGGAACUGCGAGUGUAGAGGUGAAAUUCGUAGAUAUCCGCAAGAACACCAGUGGCGAAGGCGGCUUACUGGCUCGAAACUGACGCUGAGGAGCGAAAGCGUGGGGAGCGAACAGGAUUAGAUACCCGAGUAGUCCCUGUCUCUUAUAA
Molecule: ribosomal RNA, 301 nt
Filed under: uncultured bacterium
Lineage: Bacteria
Description: partial 16S ribosomal RNA
Rfam family: Bacterial small subunit ribosomal RNA
Source: RNAcentral